AUUGAACGCUGGCGGCAUGCCUUACACAUGCAAGUCGAACGGUAACGGGUCCUUCGGGAUGCCGACGAGUGGCGAACGGGUGAGUAAUAUAUCGGAACGUGCCCAGUAGUGGGGGAUAACUGCUCGAAAGAGCAGCUAAUACCGCAUACGACCUGAGGGUGAAAGGGGGGGAUCGCAAGACCUCUCGCUAUUGGAGCGGCCGAUAUCAGAUUAGCUAGUUGGUGGGGUAAAGGCCUACAAAGGCAACGAUCUGUAGUUGGUCUGAGAGGACAACCAGCCACACUGGGACUGAGACACGGCCCAGACUCCUACGGGAGGCAGCAGUGGGGAAUUUUGGACAAUGGGCGCAAGCCUGAUCCAGCAAUGCCGCGUGCAGGAAGAAGGCCUUCGGGUUGUAAACUGCUUUUGUCAGGGAAGAAAUCUUCUGGGCUAAUACCCCGGGAGGAUGACGGUACCUGAAGAAUAAGCACCGGCUAACUACGUGCCAGCCGCCGCGGUAA
Molecule: ribosomal RNA, 500 nt
Filed under: uncultured bacterium
Lineage: Bacteria
Description: partial 16S ribosomal RNA
Rfam family: Bacterial small subunit ribosomal RNA
Source: RNAcentral